AUGCCGCGAGCAUCACUUGGAGAAGGGAAGGGAAAGUUCACUUCCUACUUUUUAAAGGCUGCCAGCAAGAGGAGUAACAAAGCCACAAGUCAGAAGCACUCUGCAGUGGGAGAAGUGGGAGAAACUAAGCUACAUCCUGCAAGACUGAAGAUGGAGAGGAGGAAGCUUGCGCCUUCUCACUGAACUUAAGCUUCCCUGCCAUGGGGGAACUGGUGGAAAAAGUCCAAAAGAGUCCUCCAGGUGUGAAGUCUGAUGUCAGUCAGCUUCAGAGAAAUGACACCAGCUGAGGAUCUGCAAGCAAGUCUCAGGUCUGUACCAAUCUCAUAGAUCAGCACUUUUCUCUGUAGAGUCACUUUUUCCUUGCAUGGAAUCAUGAUUUGCAACUCAGCCUCUGCCUGUGAGAUACCAUCAUGAAACCACAUUGCUCAGAGAAGGCAGAACCUUUCUAUGUUAUUAGAAAUGUUAACCAACAUGUGAGUUUCUGGUGGUCAUGCAGACCAUUUGUUGUUUUCAGAGCACUCUCAGAACAUCAGUCCUUGUGGCACCAUGUGUAAUGCAUGUCAGGGCUAUUGUUAAACCCCGCUGCCAGCUGAGGGAGGGAGGAAAGGAGAUAAAAAACCACAGCUUGAGUUAUUGAAAUAUUGGAGACAGGACUGGAACUCGGCAUUUCCUGGGCAGAUUACCACCCUUCACUUCUCCCUGAGCUGGUAUAAUUAGCAGUGUCCUGGAUCUCUCUUAUUCCCAUGCAAGCACACAUCUGAAUGCAUUUUUCUUUGAAAUUGUCUGUCUUGGGGUCAUUUGUGUUGUGCACUUCAGGCUGUUGAUGAUCUGUUGUCUGCAGUGAAAUACUCACUGGUAGACUGUAAAUCACGAAGAGAUGCAAAGGCAUCCAUUUG
Molecule: long non-coding RNA, 896 nt
Filed under: Ficedula albicollis (Collared flycatcher)
Lineage: Eukaryota; Metazoa; Chordata; Aves; Passeriformes; Muscicapidae
Description: lncRNA (ENSFALG00000026364.1)
Source: RNAcentral